Molecule: long non-coding RNA, 1042 nt
Organism: Homo sapiens (human)
Lineage: Eukaryota; Metazoa; Chordata; Mammalia; Primates; Hominidae
Gene: NFIX-AS1
Product: NFIX antisense RNA 1
Exons: 2
Source: RefSeq, a predicted model, not a curated record
AGUCUAAGGACCAAAUAACAAGGAAAAUAAAAGGGAAACACAUGUAAUGAAAAACACCUGAAGCAAAUACAUAAAAAGCUCCCUUUGCACCUCAAAGGCACUUCACAGCCACUAGCGCCUGUGGGCACUAACCCCUAUGCCCAUUUAUUGCCCAUUUUUCCCAUUGCUUUCUCAUUGCUGUUUCUUCCUCAGGCACUUCAGGAUCCCCUUUCCCUUCUAAGCGGUCUACCCCACACCUGGCGGAAGGGCCACCGCAGCCACCUCGCCUACCACCAGCCCCCUACCACCAGCCCAGAGCCGAACCUCUGCAGCCCUGAUAAAAAGUCCUUUCCCCAACUCCCACAUCUCUCCAGGCCGUGCUCAGCCACUGGCCCUGGACCCUGCUCUUCCUCCCCAAAUCCAGGCCCUGUGGCCAGUGGCAAGAGCACUCCUCUGGGGCUGGAUGCCAGGCCCAGCCCAAGUGGGCAGCUCUCUCUUCUAUCAAGGGCACAGGGUUGCCAAGACGGGCUCUCCAAGACUGCAUUUUCUCUUCCUAUUGCAUAUGGGGCUGGAAAGAAAGAACUGUUCAAUUUAAUUUAAAAUAUGACAAGGGAUCUGAGCCCUCUGAGCAGGCGAUCUCUAGAAAUACUUGAUUCUUUUUAGGGGAGAGGAUGCAGAGUAGGCAGCGAAGCUGCUUCCCCACACCCGGGUUUGACUCUCCCACCAGCCCGCCGCCUGGGAAACGCGCCCUCGGCUGGCAUCGGGGUACCAGAGCCCGGCUCCUUUCUUCCUUUCUUUCUUUUUUAAACGGCUCUAGCGCAAACCAGGCAGUGGGUCAGGGCCCAGAGGCGGGGGAGGGAAGAGGAGAGGGCUGUCUCCAACUCGGGGAGAAGAACGGCCGGCCGCAAGUUUCCCGGUUUGUGCCAGUUUGGGGAUUUGCGAAUCAGACCGGAGCGGAGGGAACGGCGGACUUUGCCGUGGCAAACCCGGGCUCCGACGACAGAGGCAGCGCAGAAGCUCGCUCCUAAAUGAGACAAUUUUAUUAAAAUCAUAAUUCCUUGCA